UCCAGCGUGGUGUAACGGUUAGCACGAGCGCAGGCUCUCCCAUUCACGAUGUUUGACUAAGUCUAGGUCGUGGGUUCGAACCCUAGUGCUAGUA
Non-coding RNA from Podospora pseudocomata, 94 nucleotides. The record is from the annotation of a RefSeq genome assembly. Lineage: Eukaryota; Fungi; Ascomycota; Sordariomycetes; Sordariales; Podosporaceae.